GACGAACGCUGGCGGCGUGCCUAAUACAUGCAAGUCGAACGAGAGCGACCGGUGCUUGCACUGGUCAAUCUAGUGGCGAACGGGUGAGUAACACGUGGGUAACCUGCCCAUCAGAGGGGGAUAACAUCCGGAAACGGAUGCUAAAACCGCAUAGGUCUUCGAACCGCAUGGUUUGAAGAGGAAAAGAGGCGCACGCUUCUGCUGAUGGAUGGACCCGCGGUGCAUUAGCUAGUUGGUGAGGUAACGGCUCACCAAGGCCGUGAUGCAUAGCCGACCUGAGAGGGUGAUCGGCCACAUUGGGACUGAGACACGGCCCAAACGCCUACGGGAGGCAGCAGUAGGGAAUCUUCCGCAAUGGACGCAAGUCUGACGGAGCAACGCCGCGUGAGUGAAGAAGGUUUUCGGAUCGUAAAACUCUGUUGUUAGGGAAGAACAAGUGCUAGAGUAACUGUUAGCGCCUUGACGGUAUCUAACCAGAAAGCCACGGCUAACUACGUG
This 498-nucleotide ribosomal RNA is filed under the name uncultured bacterium. RNAcentral's name for it is "partial 16S ribosomal RNA". It matches the Rfam family "Bacterial small subunit ribosomal RNA", at positions 28 to 507 of the family's 1533-position model. The record is from RNAcentral.